AACGAACGCUGGCGGCAUGCCUAACACAUGCAAGUCGAACGAGACCUUCGGGUCUAGUGGCGCACGGGUGCGUAACGCGUGGGAAUCUGCCCUGGGGUGCGAAUAACUCGGAGAAAUCCGUGCUAAUAACCGCAUAAUGUCUUCGGACCAAAGAUUUAUCGCCCUGGGAUGAGCCCGCGUAGGAUUAGCUAGUUGGUGGGUAAAAGGCCCUACCAAGGCGACGAUCCUUAGCUGGUCUGAGAGGAUGAUCAGCCACACUUGGGACUGAGACACGGCCCAGACCCCUACGGGAGGCAGCAGUGGGGAAUA
RNAcentral lists this ribosomal RNA (309 nucleotides) under uncultured bacterium. RNAcentral's name for it is "bacterial SSU rRNA". It matches the Rfam family "Bacterial small subunit ribosomal RNA", at positions 29 to 363 of the family's 1533-position model. The record is from RNAcentral.